UAUAUACUCCCUUCAUCCCAAAAUUUUUGUCUUAGAUUUGUCUAGAUACGGAUGUAUCUAAAACUAAAAUGUAACUAGAUGCAUCCGUAUUUAGACAAAUUUUAAGACAAAAAUUUUAGGACAAAGGGAGUAUAUG
Molecule: non-coding RNA, 136 nt
Organism: Triticum aestivum (bread wheat)
Lineage: Eukaryota; Viridiplantae; Streptophyta; Magnoliopsida; Poales; Poaceae
Source: Rfam